UCAUUAUCAACCAUCAAGCUCUGCUUGGCAUUGGGCGUCAGCCCCGUAACAGGGGGCUCGCCCCAAAGGAUUCGGCGGUGGCAUGAAGCCUCAAGCGUAGUAAAAUUUAUCCCGCUUCAGAGGUCUUUUUGUCGCCCGCUUCCAAAAACCAACACCUCAAGGUUGACCUCGGAUCAGGUAGGGAUACCCGCUGAACUUAA
Molecule: unclassified non-coding RNA, 200 nt
Filed under: soil metagenome
Description: partial contains internal transcribed spacer 2 and large subunit ribosomal RNA
Source: RNAcentral